GCAAGUCGAGCGCGAACGGCUGUCUUCGGACAUCUAGUAGAGCGGCGAACGGGCUGAGUAACACGUGAGUAACCUGCCCCAAGGUCUGGGAUAACAGCACGAAAGGGCUGCUAAUACCUGAUAAGCCCGCGCAGCUGCGGCAUUGCGGGAAAAGUGGGGGCUCUCUAUAUGAGACCUCAUGCCUUGGGAUGGGCCCGCGGCCCAUUAGGUAGUUGGUGGGGUAAGAGCCUACCAAGCCGACGAUGGGUAGCUGGUCUGAGAGGGCGAUCAGCCACACUGGAACUGAGACACGGUCCAGACUCCUACGGGAGGCAGCAGUGGGGAAUUUUGCGCAAUGGGCGGAAGCCUGACGCAGCCAUGCCGCGUGGGUGACGAAGGCCUUCGGGUUGUAAAGCCCUGUCCGGGGGGGCGAAAAGCAUUUUCAUAAGAAGAGAAUGUAUUGACGGUACCCCCGAAGGAAGCACCGGCUAACUCCGUGCCAGCAGCCGCGGCAAUACGGAGGGUGCAAGCGUUGUUCGGAAUCACUGGGCGUAAAGCGCGUGUAGGCGGUAGUGCAAGUCGGGUGUGAAAGCCCUGGGCUCAACCCAGGAAUUGCGCUCGAAACUGUUCUACUUUGAGUACGGGAGAGGGACGUGGAAUUCCUGGUGUA
Molecule: ribosomal RNA, 649 nt
Filed under: uncultured Pseudomonadota bacterium
Lineage: Bacteria; Pseudomonadati; Pseudomonadota
Description: bacterial SSU rRNA
Rfam family: Bacterial small subunit ribosomal RNA
Source: RNAcentral